Molecule: long non-coding RNA, 419 nt
Filed under: Struthio camelus australis
Lineage: Eukaryota; Metazoa; Chordata; Aves; Struthioniformes; Struthionidae
Description: lncRNA (ENSSCUG00000013632.1)
Source: RNAcentral
AAUAUAUGUUAAAGGAGGAGGUUUGUGCUCUAGAACUUGUCUUAUUGGAGCAGCUGGUAUAACUGGAAGAAGUAAAGCUAUUUCUUCUACGUACAAACCUUGUCUUGAGUUGGAGAAUCAACUCAGCCUGUUGACUUCACUGUCAUCAGCUAGAAGAUCUUCAUGUAACUGGCUGAAAAAUGGUUCUACAAGAUGACAGCCCCAACUCUAACACAGUUAAAAUGGAGAUUGUCUUCACUUUGACAUGAGGUGUGAAGUUUGCUAGAUUUUUUUUUUGUUUUGAAAUUAUUGUGGAAGGUAUGUAUAAGAAAAAUAAGUCCUGUUCCUUCUAUGUUCAUUUUUAUCAGAGCAUAUUGCUAUCAAUGUGCAGGAGCCAUAUAUAAAGAACUGUGGGGUUUAUUUUGUUACAAGUUAAUUAU